Xenopus laevis (African clawed frog) is the source of this 654-nucleotide long non-coding RNA. RefSeq lists it as uncharacterized. The record is from RefSeq and is a predicted model, not a curated record. The transcript has 3 exons. Lineage: Eukaryota; Metazoa; Chordata; Amphibia; Anura; Pipidae.
UGGGGGAAUGAGAAGUGAAUGAGUCAUGGUGACACACCCUGCUCUGCUGCUUAGAGGUCUCUUUGUGCUGCUUAUAGGAUAUCCUGUACAUGUGCAGUUCUGAGGGGGGCACUUGAAAAGCUGCAGCUUGUUAUGACACAGAAACAUCCUGAAGUACCAGGAAUAUUCAUAAUCUCACCUUAUAAAGUCCCUGGUGGCAUCAGAGACAAAUAAAAGUUGAAAGAUCCGGUUUGACCAAAUCUCUCUCCUGGUAUUUCUGGUUAAAAUACUAAUUAAGGAAUGUGGGAAGCAAAUGUGGCUGUGGUCACUGAAAUGUGCACCAAUGAAAACUGGCCUCAUUUUGAAGAAUUCAGCUCCUUUGCUUUACUGCACAAUAUAUCAUCUGAGAUCAUAAAUAAAGAGAAUAAAGAAACACAGAUUUGGAGAUGAUGACAACAGACCAUCUGUGAUAUUGGAAAACUAAACACAGCCUCAGCCCUGAUGAGUUUCCAUGUUUAUAUUCAAGUGUGUGAGCAUGAUCACAAAUUAAACAGCUUUUUUAACUCCUUGAGAAGGUAAUCCACCCGUGAUACACUGUCCCCGAUGUCUGCAAAUGCAGCUUGGAUCUCCAUCAGUCCAUCCAAAGAAAGCUUCAGCUAGAGGCAAGACAAGCAC